RNAcentral lists this ribosomal RNA (253 nucleotides) under uncultured bacterium. Its description in RNAcentral is "partial 16S ribosomal RNA". It matches the Rfam family "Bacterial small subunit ribosomal RNA", at positions 524 to 776 of the family's 1533-position model. The record is from RNAcentral.
UACAGAGGUGGCAAGCGUUGUUCGGAAUUACUGGGCGUAAAGGGCGCGUAGGCGGCCUUCUAAGUCAGACGUGAAAUCCCCCGGCUUAACCUGGGAACUGCGUCUGAUACUGGGAGGCUUGAGUAUGGGAGAGGGAUGUAGAAUUCCAGGUGUAGCGGUGAAAUGCGUAGAUAUCUGGAGGAACACCGGUGGCGAAGGCGGCAUCCUGGACCAAUAUUGACGCUGAGGAGCGAAAGCCAGGGGAGCAAACGGG